GGCGGACCUGCCCUGCACUCCCGCCGUAUAAGCUAAAACAUCAAAGGGGUGGUAACGGCGAGAAAAUAAUGGAGGCAUACCGUGGCUCAGCCCAGGGACGAGCAGCGACGCACUACGGCAGUCCCACUCGAUCUUCUUCGCGCGGUGAUAACGCGGUGCCCUCCCAACGCUGUAAGCACAGGGAACACCCCCUGCGUCCAGCGCGAACUUGCCGAUCUCCCUAGCCCGAUGCCGAGGUCCGGUGACGCGCGUCACGGACAAGCUCCAUCGUCAUCUCUGACCGACAGUGAAACUCUCUCUCUCUCUCUCUUUCUCGGUUCUCUCUUUCCUGGAUGCUUAGUGGGGGCGCUUGGCUUUGCCCGAGGUGGCCGACGGGCACCGAGUGGAUGGGGUGGCUGCGGUGCCC
Molecule: long non-coding RNA, 406 nt
Filed under: Zea mays
Lineage: Eukaryota; Viridiplantae; Streptophyta; Magnoliopsida; Poales; Poaceae
Description: drought responsive lncRNA
Source: RNAcentral